This 591-nucleotide ribosomal RNA is filed under the name uncultured bacterium. Its description in RNAcentral is "bacterial SSU rRNA". It matches the Rfam family "Bacterial small subunit ribosomal RNA", at positions 338 to 961 of the family's 1533-position model. The record is from RNAcentral.
CCUACGGGAGGCAGCAGUGGGGAAUCUUGCGCAAUGGGCGAAAGCCUGACGCAGCCAUGCCGCGUGUAUGAUGAAGGUCUUAGGAUUGUAAAAUACUUUCACCGGUGAAGAUAAUGACUGUAGCCGGAGAAGAAGCCCCGGCUAACUUCGUGCCAGCAGCCGCGGUAAUACGAAGGGGGCUAGCGUUGCUCGGAAUUACUGGGCGUAAAGGGAGCGUAGGCGGACAUUUAAGUCAGAGGUGAAAUCCCGGAGCUUAACUUCGGAACUGCCUUUGAUACUGGGUGUCUUGAGUGUGAGAGAGGUAUGUGGAACUCCGAGUGUAGAGGUGAAAUUCGUAGAUAUUCGGAAGAACACCAGUGGCGAAGGCGACAUACUGGCUCAUUACUGACGCUGAGGCUCGAAAGCGUGGGGAGCAAACAGGAUUAGAUACCCUGGUAGUCCACGCCGUAAACGAUGAUUGCUAGUUGUCGGGAAGCUUGCUUCUCGGUGACGCAGCUAACGCAUUAAGCAAUCCGCCUGGGGAGUACGGUCGCAAGNUUAAAACUCAAAUUGAAUUGACGGCGUGAGAGNGCGAGACGACACGAGGAGAGG